UGGGGGAUAUUGCACAAUGGGCGAAAGCCUGAUGCAGCGACGCCGCGUGGGGGAUGAAGGCUUUCGGGUUGUAAACCUCUUUCGCUAUCGAACAAGGCCCGCUUAGGGUGGGUUGAGGGUAGGUGGAGAAGAAGCGCCGGCUAACUACGUGCCAGCAGCCGCGGGAAUACGUAGGGCGCGAGCGUUGUCCGGAAUUAUUGGGCGUAAAGGGCUUGUAGGCGGCUUGUUGCGCCUGCUGUGAAAACGCGGGGCUUAACUUCGCGCGUGCAGUGGGUACGGGCAGGCUUGAGUGUGGUAGGGGUGACUGGAAUUCCAGGUGUAGCGGUGGAAUGCGCAGAUAUCUGGAGGAACACCGAUGGCGAAGGCAGGUCACUGGGCCAUUACUGACGCUGAGGAGCGAAAGCAUGGGUAGCGAACAGG
RNAcentral lists this ribosomal RNA (420 nucleotides) under bacterium. RNAcentral's name for it is "partial 16S ribosomal RNA". It matches the Rfam family "Bacterial small subunit ribosomal RNA", at positions 355 to 776 of the family's 1533-position model. The record is from RNAcentral.